GGGGUCGACUUGGUAUCGAUUGGAGCAGUAAGAUUUAGUUGCAUGUGGGCUUUAAUCACCCUUAUAAGAUUUACAUUUUUUAAACGCAAAUAAUACAAAUUAUUCUCCUGCGGUAGCUCACGCUGCUUAGAUAAAGGACUCCCCUUAAUUGGGUAGAGACCUUGGAGGUUUUCACUACGAGAUGCUAUCUAUUGUAGAACAUUGAAGACUCACCCCCUAGAUAGCUUAUCUUUUUGGAAUUGAUUUGAACAAUUAGAGACAUUUAAAAUCUUAGUUUUGAAAUAGCCUUGGAAGUUUGAGCUAUGAUAAAUGAAAUUUGAUCAACUUUAUCUAAACAUGUAGACGCUAAAUUGAGUUGUUUUAAGACUGGAGUUCAAUUCUCCACGACUCCACCA
Molecule: transfer-messenger RNA, 395 nt
Filed under: Campylobacterota bacterium
Lineage: Bacteria; Pseudomonadati; Campylobacterota
Description: Epsilonproteobacteria bacterium transfer-messenger RNA
Rfam family: transfer-messenger RNA
About the family: Bacterial tmRNA, also known as 10Sa RNA or SsrA, is named for its dual tRNA and mRNA-like properties. Its role is to liberate the mRNA from a stalled ribosome. To accomplish this part of the tmRNA is used as a reading frame that ends in a translation stop signal.
Source: RNAcentral